AGCCCCAGAGACUGAAGUCCUCUGUUAAUCCACAGAAAAGAUGCUCCAUGGGCAAAGUUCAAGUUUCCCUGCACUGCCCCAAAGUGCACCUUAAUUCUGAACUAGAGAGUGAGAGGAACUCUCCCUGGCCUCUUGGCUGAA
Molecule: small RNA, 141 nt
Filed under: Chelonoidis abingdonii (Abingdon island giant tortoise)
Lineage: Eukaryota; Metazoa; Chordata; Testudines; Testudinidae
Description: TUC338 (ENSCABG00000003629.1)
Source: RNAcentral